RNAcentral lists this unclassified non-coding RNA (354 nucleotides) under soil metagenome. RNAcentral's name for it is "partial contains 5.8S ribosomal RNA, internal transcribed spacer 2, and large subunit ribosomal RNA". The stretch from base 1 to 120 matches the Rfam family "5.8S ribosomal RNA", at positions 35 to 154 of the family's 154-position model. The record is from RNAcentral.
GAUGAAGAACGUAGCAAAAUGCGAUAAGUAGUGUGAAUAGCAGAAUUCAGUGAAUCAUCGAAUAUUUGAACGCACAUUGCGCCCCUUGGUAUUCCAUGGGGCAUGCCUGUUCGAGCGUCAUUGACACCCUCAAGCUCUGCUUGGUGUUGGGCCGUUGUCGUUUCCUCCCCCCCCCGGCGACACAGCGACACCCCUCAAAGUCAUUGGCGGCUUUCCUGCCCAGCUUUCCCGCGCAGCAGUUCGCGCUUCGGAGACCACUUGGCAGGUUGGCAUCCAUCAAGCUGACCCCUCACGCUUGACCUCGGAUCAGGUAGGGACUACCCGCUGAACUUAAGCAUAUCAAUAAGCGGAGGA